UGCAAGUCGAACGAACUUAACCAUUAGUUUACUAUUGGAGCGGUUAGUGGCGGACUGGUGAGUAACACGUAAGCAACCUGCCUAUCAGAGGGGAACAACAGUUAGAAAUGACUGCUAAUACCGCAUAUGCCUUAGAAUCACAUGGUUCAAAAGGGAAAGGAGCAAUCCGCUGAUAGAUGGGCUUGCGUCUGAUUAGCUAGUUGGUGGGGUAACGGCCUACCAAGGCGACGAUCAGUAGCCGAACUGAGAGGUUGAACGGCCACAUUGGGACUGAGAUACGGCCCAGACUCCUACGGGAGGCAGCAGUCGGGAAUAUUGCGCAAUGGAGGAAACUCUGACGCAGUGACGCCGCGUGCAGGAAGAAGGUUUUCGGAUUGUAAACUGCUUUAGACAGGGAAGAACAAAGACAGUACCUGUAGAAUAAGCUCCGGCUAACUACGUGCCAGCAGCCGCGGUAAUACGUAGGGAGCGAGCGUUAUCCGGAUUUAUUGGGUGUAAAGGGUGCGUAGACGGGAAGUCAAGUUAGUUGUGAAAUCCCUCGGCUUAACUGAGGAACUGCAACUAAAACUGAUUUUCUUGAGUACUGGAGAGGAAAGUGGAAUUCCUAGUGUAGCGGUGAAAUGCGUAGAUAUUAGGAGGAACACCGGUGGCGAAGGCGACUUUCUGGACAGAAACUGACGUUGAGGCACGAAAGUGUGGGGAGCAAACAGGAUUAGAUACCCUGGUAGUCCACACCGUAAACGAUGGAUACUAGGUGUAGGGGAUAUUAAAAUUCUCUGUGCCGCCGCUAACGCAAUAAGUAUCCCACCUGGGGAGUACGG
This 821-nucleotide ribosomal RNA is filed under the name uncultured bacterium. RNAcentral's name for it is "bacterial SSU rRNA". It matches the Rfam family "Bacterial small subunit ribosomal RNA", at positions 56 to 885 of the family's 1533-position model. The record is from RNAcentral.